RNAcentral lists this ribosomal RNA (505 nucleotides) under Aspergillus sp. N17. RNAcentral's name for it is "SSU rRNA". It matches the Rfam family "Eukaryotic small subunit ribosomal RNA", at positions 63 to 571 of the family's 1831-position model. The record is from RNAcentral. Lineage: Eukaryota; Fungi; Ascomycota; Eurotiomycetes; Eurotiales; Aspergillaceae.
GUAUAAGCACUUUAUACUGUGAAACUGCGAAUGGCUCAUUAAAUCAGUUAUCGUUUAUUUGAUAGUACCUUACUACAUGGAUACCUGUGGUAAUUCUAGAGCUAAUACAUGCUAAAAACCCCGACUUCGGAAGGGGUGUAUUUAUUAGAUAAAAAACCAAUGCCCUUCGGGGCUCCUUGGUGAUUCAUAAUAACUUAACGAAUCGCAUGGCCUUGCGCCGGCGAUGGUUCAUUCAAAUUUCUGCCCUAUCAACUUUCGAUGGUAGGAUAGUGGCCUACCAUGGUGGCAACGGGUAACGGGGAAUUAGGGUUCGAUUCCGGAGAGGGAGCCUGAGAAACGGCUACCACAUCCAAGGAAGGCAGCAGGCGCGCAAAUUACCCAAUCCCGACACGGGGAGGUAGUGACAAUAAAUACUGAUACGGGGCUCUUUCGGGUCUCGUAAUUGGAAUGAGUACAAUCUAAAUCCCUUAACGAGGAACAAUUGGAGGGCAAGUCUGGGGCGAGC